This 353-nucleotide ribosomal RNA is filed under the name uncultured bacterium. RNAcentral describes it as "bacterial SSU rRNA". It matches the Rfam family "Archaeal small subunit ribosomal RNA", at positions 723 to 1077 of the family's 1478-position model. The record is from RNAcentral.
ACGGAAUAGAUACCCAGGUAGUCCCAGCCGUAAACGAUGCUCGCUAGGUGUCAGGCAUGGCGCGACCGUGUCUGGUGCCGCAGGGAAGCCGUGAAGCGAGCCACCUGGGAAGUACGGCCGCAAGGCUGAAACUUAAAGGAAUUGGCGGGGAGCACAACAACGGGUGGAGCCUGCGGUUUAAUUGGACUCAACGCCGGACAACUCACCGGGGGCGACAGCAAUAUGUAGGCCAAGCUGAAGACUUUGCCUGAAUCGCUGAGAGGAGGUGCAUGGCCGUCGCCAGUUCGUACUGUGAAGCAUCCUGUUAAGUCAGGCAACGAGCGAGACCCGUGCCCACUGUUACCAGCAUGUCC